Molecule: unclassified non-coding RNA, 240 nt
Filed under: soil metagenome
Description: partial contains 5.8S ribosomal RNA, internal transcribed spacer 2, and large subunit ribosomal RNA
Source: RNAcentral
AACAAGGCGUACCUGCGGACCUGCGGAGGGAUCAUUACAGAGUUCAUGCCCUCACGGGUAGAUCUCCCACCCUUGCGUAUUUAUACCUUUGUUGCUUUGGCAGGCCGCCUGGGCUCGCGCCUGGCCACCGGCUCCCGGGCUGGUGCGUGCCUGCCAGAGGAUCUCCAAACUCUAGUUAUCAGUGUUGUCUGAGUACUAUACAAUAGUUAAAACUUUUAACAAUGGAUCUCAGAUCGGAAG